GGGUUGUGAGGUUAAGCGACUAAGCGUACACGGUGGAUGCCCUGGCAGUCAGAGGCGAUGAAGGACGUGCUAAUCUGCGAUAAGCGUCGGUAAGGUGAUAUGAACCGUUAUAACCGGCGAUUUCCGAAUGGGGAAACCCAGUGUGAUUCGUCACACUAUCAUUAACUGAAUCCAUAGGUUAAUGAGGCGAACCGGGGGAACUGAAACAUCUAAGUACCCCGAGGAAAAGAAAUCAACCGAGAUUCCCCCAGUAGCGGCGAGCGAACGGGGAGCAGCCCAGAGCCUGAAUCAGUGUGUGUGUUAGUGGAAGCGUCUGGAAAGGCGUGCGAUACAGGGUGACAGCCCCGUACACAAAAAUGCACAUGCUGUGAGCUCGAUGAGUAGGGCGGGACACGUGGUAUCCUGUCUGAAUAUGGGGGGACCAUCCUCCAAGGCUAAAUACUCCUGACUGACCGAUAGUGAACCAGUACCGUGAGGGAAAGGCGAAAAGAACCCCGGCGAGGGGAGUGAAAAAGAACCUGAAACCGUGUACGUACAAGCAGUGGGAGCACAGAGCAAUCUGUGUGACUGCGUACCUUUUGUAUAAUGGGUCAGCGACUUAUAUUCUGUAGCAAGGUUAACCGAAUAGGGGAGCCGAAGGGAAACCGAGUCUUAACUGGGCGUUAAGUUGCAGGGUAUAGACCCGAAACCCGGUGAUCUAGCCAUGGGCAGGUUGAAGGUUGGGUAACACUAACUGGAGGACCGAACCGACUAAUGUUGAAAAAUUAGCGGAUGACUUGUGGCUGGGGGUGAAAGGCCAAUCAAACCGGGAGAUAGCUGGUUCUCCCCGAAAGCUAUUUAGGUAGCGCCUCGUGAAUUCAUCUCCGGGGGUAGAGCACUGUUUCGGCAAGGGGGUCAUCCCGACUUACCAACCCGAUGCAAACUGCGAAUACCGGAGAAUGUUAUCACGGGAGACACACGGCGGGUGCUAACGUCCGUCGUGAAGAGGGAAACAACCCAGACCGCCAGCUAAGGUCCCAAAGUCAUGGUUAAGUGGGAAACGAUGUGGGAAGGCCCAGACAGCCAGGAUGUUGGCUUAGAAGCAGCCAUCAUUUAAAGAAAGCGUAAUAGCUCACUGGUCGAGUCGGCCUGCGCGGAAGAUGUAACGGGGCUAAACCAUGCACCGAAGCUGCGGCAGCGACGCUUAUGCGUUGUUGGGUAGGGGAGCGUUCUGUAAGCCUGCGAAGGUGUGCUGUGAGGCAUGCUGGAGGUAUCAGAAGUGCGAAUGCUGACAUAAGUAACGAUAAAGCGGGUGAAAAGCCCGCUCGCCGGAAGACCAAGGGUUCCUGUCCAACGUUAAUCGGGGCAGGGUGAGUCGACCCCUAAGGCGAGGCCGAAAGGCGUAGUCGAUGGGAAACAGGUUAAUAUUCCUGUACUUGGUGUUACUGCGAAGGGGGGACGGAGAAGGCUAUGUUGGCCGGGCGACGGUUGUCCCGGUUUAAGCGUGUAGGCUGGUUUUCCAGGCAAAUCCGGAAAAUCAAGGCUGAGGCGUGAUGACGAGGCACUACGGUGCUGAAGCAACAAAUGCCCUGCUUCCAGGAAAAGCCUCUAAGCAUCAGGUAACAUCAAAUCGUACCCCAAACCGACACAGGUGGUCAGGUAGAGAAUACCAAGGCGCUUGAGAGAACUCGGGUGAAGGAACUAGGCAAAAUGGUGCCGUAACUUCGGGAGAAGGCACGCUGAUAUGUAGGUGAAGUCCCUCGCGGAUGGAGCUGAAAUCAGUCGAAGAUACCAGCUGGCUGCAACUGUUUAUUAAAAACACAGCACUGUGCAAACACGAAAGUGGACGUAUACGGUGUGACGCCUGCCCGGUGCCGGAAGGUUAAUUGAUGGGGUCAGCGCAAGCGAAGCUCUUGAUCGAAGCCCCGGUAAACGGCGGCCGUAACUAUAACGGUCCUAAGGUAGCGAAAUUCCUUGUCGGGUAAGUUCCGACCUGCACGAAUGGCGUAAUGAUGGCCAGGCUGUCUCCACCCGAGACUCAGUGAAAUUGAACUCGCUGUGAAGAUGCAGUGUACCCGCGGCAAGACGGAAAGACCCCGUGAACCUUUACUAUAGCUUGACACUGAACAUUGAGCCUUGAUGUGUAGGAUAGGUGGGAGGCUUGGAAGUGUGGACGCCAGUCUGCAUGGAGCCGACCUUGAAAUACCACCCUUUAAUGUUUGAUGUUCUAACGUUGACCCGUAAUCCGGGUUGCGGACAGUGUCUGGUGGGUAGUUUGACUGGGGCGGUCUCCUCCUAAAGAGUAACGGAGGAGCACGAAGGUUGGCUAAUCCUGGUCGGACAUCAGGAGGUUAGUGCAAUGGCAUAAGCCAGCUUGACUGCGAGCGUGACGGCGCGAGCAGGUGCGAAAGCAGGUCAUAGUGAUCCGGUGGUUCUGAAUGGAAGGGCCAUCGCUCAACGGAUAAAAGGUACUCCGGGGAUAACAGGCUGAUACCGCCCAAGAGUUCAUAUCGACGGCGGUGUUUGGCACCUCGAUGUCGGCUCAUCACAUCCUGGGGCUGAAGUAGGUCCCAAGGGUAUGGCUGUUCGCCAUUUAAAGUGGUACGCGAGCUGGGUUUAGAACGUCGUGAGACAGUUCGGUCCCUAUCUGCCGUGGGCGCUGGAGAACUGAGGGGGGCUGCUCCUAGUACGAGAGGACCGGAGUGGACGCAUCACUGGUGUUCGGGUUGUCAUGCCAAUGGCACUGCCCGGUAGCUAAAUGCGGAAGAGAUAAGUGCUGAAAGCAUCUAAGCACGAAACUUGCCCCGAGAUGAGUUCUCCCUGACUCCUUGAGAGUCCUGAAGGAACGUUGAAGACGACGACGUUGAUAGGCCGGGUGUGUAAGCGCAGCGAUGCGUUGAGCUAACCGGUACUAAUGAACCGUGAGGCUUAACCUUACAACGCCGAAGCUGUU
Molecule: ribosomal RNA, 2932 nt
Filed under: Escherichia coli
Lineage: Bacteria; Pseudomonadati; Pseudomonadota; Gammaproteobacteria; Enterobacterales; Enterobacteriaceae
Description: 23S ribosomal RNA
Rfam family: Bacterial large subunit ribosomal RNA
Source: RNAcentral